UCGUUGGUCUAGGGGUAUGAUUCUCGCUUUGGGUGCGAGAGGUCCCGGGUCCAAAUCCCGGACGAGCCCGGAAUUGGUCUUUUAAAAAAGGCAAUAGGUUAGUCAAACGAAAUAUUUCUAUACGAAAACGUUACUUCCAAAUUUAUUCAACUAACGUAGGGUCUAGAGAUGCGCUUGUCGAAUUCUCUCGCCCAGCUAUUUGCAAUUAUGUCCCGUUGAAAUGUAACUUUCACCCUUUUGUCGGCUCGUUGGUCUAGGGGUAUGAUUCUCGCUUAGGGUGCGAGAGGUCCCGGGUCCAAAUCCCGGACGAGCCCGGAAGUGCUCUUUUGAAACAGUCAAUGGCUGUGAUUAGUCAAACGAAAUAUGUCGGAAUGAAAAUGUUACAUCCAAAUUUAUACAAUUCAGGUAGAGUCUAGAUAUGCGCUUUUCAAAUUCUCUCGCCUAGCUAUUUGCGAUUAUGUCCUGUUUUCAUGUAACUUUGACCCUUUUGUCGGCUCGUUGGUCUAGGGGUAUGAUUCUCGCUUCGGGUGCGAGAGGUCCCGGGUUCAAAUCCCGGACGAGCCCGAUGGAACUUGUUUGAUGCUGUUAGCGGUUGUAAUUUGUAAAUGAUGACAAAAAAGUUACUCCCCAAUUUGGUCAGUGAACGACCAUAUUGCUAGUAUGUUUCCAAAAAAUAGGCAAACACAACAAACUAGUGAAAAAAAACAAGCAAUUUGUUGACCACGGAUACGCUGAUUCAAUUCUCUUGCCUGGCCAAAUAGGAUUUUGUCCCAUGGACAUAGCAUUAAUAGUUUUUGUCGGCUCGUUGGUCUAGGGGUAUGAUUCUCGCUUUGGGUGCGAGAGGUCCCGGGUCCAAAUCCCGGACGAGCCCGGGAUAGGUCUUUUGAAAGUCAAUAGAUGUGAUAAGUAAAAUGAAAUAUGUCUAUACGAAAAUGUAACUUCCAAAUUUUUUCAACUAACGUAGAGUCUAGAGAUGCUCUUGUCGAUAUCUCUCGCCCAGCUAUUUGCAAUUAUUUCCCGUUGUCAUGUAACUUUCACCCUUUUGUCGGCUCGUUGGUCUAGGGGUAUGAUUCUCGCUUUGGGUGCGAGCGGUCCCGGGUCCAAAUCCCGGACGAGCCCGGAAUUGGUCUUUUGAAACAGUCAAUAGAUGUGAUUAGUAAAAUGAAAUAUGUCUAUACGAAAAUGUCACUUCCAAAUUUAUUCAACUAACGUAGAGUCUAGAGAUGCGCUUGUCGAAUUCUCUCGCCCAGCUAUUUGCAAUUAUGUCCCGUUGAAAUGUAACUUUCACCCAUUUGUCGGCUCGUUGGUCUAGGGGUAUGAUUCUCGCUUUGGGUGCGAGAGGUCCCGGGUCCAAAUCCCGGACGAGCCCGGAAGUGCUCUUUUGAAACAGUCAAUGGCUGUGAUUAGUCAAACAAAAUAUGUCGGAAUGAAAAUGUUACAUCCAAAUUUAUUCAAUUAACGUAGAGUCUAGAGAUGCUCUUGUCGAUAUCUCUCGCCCAGCUAUUUGCAAUUAUUUCCCGUUGACAUGUAACUUUCACCCUUUUGUCGGCUCGUUGGUCUAGGGGUAUGAUUCUCGCUUAGGG
Long non-coding RNA from Gasterosteus aculeatus aculeatus (three-spined stickleback), 1583 nucleotides. The record is from Ensembl. Lineage: Eukaryota; Metazoa; Chordata; Actinopteri; Perciformes; Gasterosteidae.